Molecule: ribosomal RNA, 617 nt
Filed under: bacterium enrichment culture clone MIZ1-1-I-07
Lineage: Bacteria
Description: bacterial SSU rRNA
Rfam family: Bacterial small subunit ribosomal RNA
Source: RNAcentral
UGCAGUCGAGCGCCCCGCAAGGGGAGCGGCAGACGGGUGAGUAGCGCGUGGGAAUCUACCGUGCCCUACGGAAUAGCUCCGGGAAACUGGAAUUAAUACCGUAUACGCCCUACGGGGGAAAGGUUUAUCGGGGUAUGAUGAGCCCGCGUUGGAUUAGCUAGUUGGUGGGGUAAAGGCCUACCAAGGCGACGAUCCAUAGCUGGUCUGAGAGGAUGAUCAGCCACAUUGGGACCGAGACACGGCCCAAACUCCUACGGGAGGCAGCAGUGGGGAAUAUUGGACAAUGGGCGCAAGCCUGAUCCAGCCAUGCCGCGUGAGUGAUGAAGGUCUUAGGAUUGUAAAGCUCUUUCACCGGAGAAGAUAAUGACGGUAUCCGGAGAAGGAGCCCCGGCUAACUUCGUGCCAGCAGCCGCGGUAAUACGAAGGGGGCUAGCGUUGUUCGGAAUUACUGGGCGUAAAGCGCACGUAGGCGGAUAUUUAAGUCAGGGGUGAAAUCCCAGAGCUCAACUCUGGAACUGCCUUUGAUACUGGGUAUCUUGAGUAUGGAAGAGGUGAGUGGAAUUCCGAGUGUAGAGGUGAAAUUCGUAGAUAUUCGGAGGAACACCAGUGGCGAAGGC